UCUCUCUCCGCCGACUUGUCCACCACCGCCGAGCGCAAAUAAUCCCACUGCUCAAGCCGCACACUUUUAAAGGGCCAGAAAGCCGAAGGUGCCGUCGAUCCCGCACCACCGCUGCAGCGUUGGAGCUUCUUUUCCUGUCUACGAUGGAUGAAGGCUCACGGAAGACCGCACGUACAACUAAAUGUGGACGAUAUCAACAAAGGCCAGACUGGAUGUUCGAAGAUUCCUCAAGUCAGGAACAAAUCAUCCAUCCGUCCAUCGUCCUCCGCUUCUCCAGAGUCGAGUCGCAGGGGCAGCAACCUGAGCAGAAAAGCCCAAACGGCCAUCUUUUCAGUCACUUUGUCCAGCUUUUCCGG
Syngnathoides biaculeatus (alligator pipefish) is the source of this 356-nucleotide long non-coding RNA. RefSeq lists it as uncharacterized. The transcript has 3 exons. The record is from RefSeq and is a predicted model, not a curated record. NCBI's taxonomy places the organism in Eukaryota, Metazoa, Chordata, Actinopteri, Syngnathiformes, Syngnathidae.